Molecule: ribosomal RNA, 254 nt
Filed under: uncultured bacterium
Lineage: Bacteria
Description: partial 16S ribosomal RNA
Rfam family: Bacterial small subunit ribosomal RNA
Source: RNAcentral
UACGUAGGGUGCAAGCGUUAAUCGGAAUUACUGGGCGUAAAGCGUGCGCAGGCGGUGAUGUAAGACAGGUGUGAAAUCCCCGGGCUUAACCUGGGAACUGCAUUUGUGACUGCAUCGCUGGAGUGCGGCAGAGGGGGAUGGAAUUCCGCGUGUAGCAGUGAAAUGCGUAGAUAUGCGGAGGAACACCGAUGGCGAAGGCAGCCCCCCUGGGUUAACACUGACGCUCAGGCACGAAAGCGUGGGGAGCAAACAGG